AGCGCAGAGGAGUGGGUGGGCGCUCCAGCGUAGUUAACUGUCGGCUCGGGCAAGGCGGGCGAGCUGUGAGUCCUGCACCCUCCUCUGGUGCACAGCGCACCUCUCUCGGCUGCCGGUUCCUGUUUUGUUUUGGUGCUGCCGCCCAGGCGCGCGCUGCAGCCCUCCUGGCCAAGUCUUGGAUGAUGAACGUCGAGCCUCCCCCCCCCCCCAGGCUUCUGCUUUCAUCCCACCGGUAUCUUAGAGGGUGGUGGUCAGUCUGGAGUUCCUGUACCUUUUAGGGACGUGAAGAGGUUGUUGUGGGACUGCAGAAAACCCAGCUACUCCGAGCUCAGACUUCCAGAUAACUGGUGCACAUGACCCUUGAUCUCUCAAACUGGGGAAAGUCACCAUGUCUCAAGGACUGUCUCAUAGACAUAGUAUUUUUACAUUUCUCUGGGGCCCAUGGGUGAGAAUUUGGGAAAAGGAAGCUUGGUGUAGGAAAGAGAGGAGGGGGCUGGCGCGAUACCUGCUCCUGCAGCUGGCCUGGGACGGGAUAGGACUACAGGUCCUGUGAGCACUGACCACAGGUCAGCAUCCACAUGACUGAGCUAUGGUCACUGGGCCCCUUUGGCUCAUACUGAACUUUUGUGCAAAAUAAAGCCCUGGCCUGGAUGAAUGGGCAGAACCCAAGUGUCACAGCAGGCAGGGGGGGGUAAGCAGGGAAGAGCCUCCUCUGGCCUCAAGGGUAGACUCUUGUAGGGUGCUUAUGACAGAACAGGCUGACUUUUCCCUUUGGCAGCUUGUAUUUUAGGGGCGACUCAGUAAGUGAAUUAAACAGAUUCACGUUGUCAUCUCAGAUCCUGCUAGACACACUAGGAAGAAAGCAAGAAAUUGAAGAGUGAGCCACUUACACACACAGGUCAGGGAGAGGCUUGAAGACAGGCUGAGGCUGUAGCUACAAGCAAAGCUGCAAACCAGCUUCACACAGUGUCUCCCACCUAUGAGGCGGCCUUGCCCAACAGCUUCUCACCUCUCAAGCCAACAGGCUACCAGAUCUCAGCCCUCUUAAGGCACAGGCUGGUGGCUGGAGGGAUCUUGGCCAACGGAAAGAGGCUGGCAGAAAUUUGCCUGCCCUCCUAUCAUCUCCACGAAAGGCAGUGGCCUCCUGAAACCCUUCACGAGCCUCCAUCUAGCUGUUUAUUUAUAGUCUGUGGCCAGCUCAGAAGAAUAAAACAAAGCAAAAUAAAAAUAA
This is a non-coding RNA of Ictidomys tridecemlineatus (thirteen-lined ground squirrel), 1231 nucleotides long. NCBI's taxonomy places the organism in Eukaryota, Metazoa, Chordata, Mammalia, Rodentia, Sciuridae. The record is from RefSeq and is a predicted model, not a curated record.